GAUUCCUACGAGGGGCAGCAGUGAGGAAUUUUCCGCAAUGGAUGCAAGUCUGACGGAGCAACGCCGCGUGCAGGAGGACGCUUUUCGGAGUGUAAACUGCUUUUCUCUGGGACGAGAGUGGACGGUACCAGAGGAAGAAGCCCCGGCUAACUACGUGCCAGCAGCCGCGGUAAUACGUAGGGGGCGAGCGUUGUCCGGAGUUACUGGGCGUAAAGGGCAUGCAGGCGGUCGGACGCGUUUUGUGUGACAGCGGGUGGCUCAACUACCCGAGCAUAGGAAAGACGGUUUGACUUGAGGGCUCGAGAGGGACACGGAAUUCCGGGUGGAGUGGUGAAAUGCGUAGAGAUCCGGAGGAACACCGAAGGCGAAGGCAGUGUCCUGGCGAGUGACUGACGCUGAGGUGCGAAAGCCAGGGGAGCGAACGGGAUUAGAUACCCCGGUAGUCCUGGCCGUAAACGAUGACCACCAGGUGUGGGAGGUAUCGACCCCUUCUGUGCCAAAGGAAACCCAUUAAGUGGUCCGCCUGGGGAGUACGGUCGCAAGAUUAAAACUCAAAGGAAUUGACG
This 566-nucleotide ribosomal RNA is filed under the name uncultured bacterium. Its description in RNAcentral is "SSU rRNA". It matches the Rfam family "Bacterial small subunit ribosomal RNA", at positions 334 to 915 of the family's 1533-position model. The record is from RNAcentral.